ACAAUGGUGUAUAUAUAUGAACCCUAACCAAGUGUCGUUAUUUCAACUAGUUAGGCGAAGCUUAGAGGUCUGACGAUUCGAGUGACGCUUGAGACGAAACUAAUAUUACAUGUUGUGUUUUCGGGUCUAGGAGAUUACGGGAUUUGGUCUAAAACUUCCUAAUUUUCCAAAAAUAAAAAAAUUAAAA
This 187-nucleotide small RNA is filed under the name Arabidopsis thaliana (thale cress). Its description in RNAcentral is "ATSL177010". The record is from RNAcentral. Lineage: Eukaryota; Viridiplantae; Streptophyta; Magnoliopsida; Brassicales; Brassicaceae.